UUUUCUGCUAAUAUUUAGGUGCUUCUUCCUGAAACUAUAUAUAUAGAUAUAUAUUUUCCGUGGCCUUGUUUAUAUGAAGAAACUGGUUUUUUAAAACCUUCCUGAUUUCCCCGAGCCUUUUGUUAUGGGCCAAUUUUGCCCAGGCAAAAACAAACAAAAUAAACCCAAAAAAUAAAAAAGUCCACUACAGCAUUAGGCCAAGCCCAAACCCAAAUAAAAAACCCUAGCUCAGCAACCUAAAAAAAUUCAGCAAAAGAAAAACCCUAGCCCCAUGGUCAGCCUCCAGCGCUGCACGCUCCACCCCCUCGCACGCCACCGUCAUCGCGUCCCAUCGCCCCUCC
This 341-nucleotide long non-coding RNA is filed under the name Gossypium raimondii (Peruvian cotton). RNAcentral describes it as "long non-coding RNA (GRAI_LNC009634)". The record is from RNAcentral. Lineage: Eukaryota; Viridiplantae; Streptophyta; Magnoliopsida; Malvales; Malvaceae.